GAUGAACGCUGGCGGCGUGCUUAACACAUGCAAGUCGAGCGAGAAGUUUUGGAAUGAUUCCUCGGAUGAACUUUACAAUGGAAAGCGGCGGACGGGUGAGUAACGCGUAGGCAACCUGCCCCAUACAAAGGGAUAGCAGUUGGAAACGAAUAUUAAUACCUUCUGAGACUUAACUCGUGCAUGCUAGGUAGGUCAAAGAUUUAUCGGAUUGGGAUGGGCCUGCUUUUGAUUAGCUAGUUGGUAAGGUAACGGCCCACCAAGGCGACGAUCGGAAGCUGACCGGGAAGGUGGACCGGCAACACGGGACCUGGGACACGUCCAAACCUCUAACGGGGGGAAGAGGGGGGGAUAAUGCAAAAUGGGGCGAAAGCCGAAGCAGGAAAGGCGGCGGAAGGAAUAAAGACCUUGGGGUGGUAAGUCUCUUUUUAGGGGAUGAAAACUGACAGUACCGGAGGAGAAAGCUCCGGCUAACUCCGUG
Molecule: ribosomal RNA, 478 nt
Filed under: uncultured bacterium
Lineage: Bacteria
Description: partial 16S ribosomal RNA
Rfam family: Bacterial small subunit ribosomal RNA
Source: RNAcentral